This 465-nucleotide ribosomal RNA is filed under the name Vreelandella stevensii. Its description in RNAcentral is "partial 16S ribosomal RNA". It matches the Rfam family "Bacterial small subunit ribosomal RNA", at positions 338 to 795 of the family's 1533-position model. The record is from RNAcentral. Lineage: Bacteria; Pseudomonadati; Pseudomonadota; Gammaproteobacteria; Oceanospirillales; Halomonadaceae.
CCUACGGGUGGCAGCAGUGGGGAAUAUUGGACAAUGGGCGAAAGCCUGAUCCAGCCAUGCCGCGUGUGUGAAGAAGGCCUUCGGGUUGUAAAGCACUUUCAGUGGGGAAGAAAGCCUUGGGGCUAAUACCCUCGAGGAAGGACAUCACCCACAGAAGAAGCACCGGCUAACUCCGUGCCAGCAGCCGCGGUAAUACGGAGGGUGCGAGCGUUAAUCGGAAUUACUGGGCGUAAAGCGCGCGUAGGCGGUCUGAUAAGCCGGUUGUGAAAGCCCCGGGCUCAACCUGGGAACGGCACCCGGAACUGUCAGGCUAGAGUGCAGGAGAGGAAGGUAGAAUUCCCGGUGUAGCGGUGAAAUGCGUAGAGAUCGGGAGGAAUACCAGUGGCGAAGGCGGCCUUCUGGACUGACACUGACGCUGAGGUGCGAAAGCGUGGGUAGCAAACAGGAUUAGAUACCCCUGUAGUC